This 1692-nucleotide long non-coding RNA is filed under the name Eucalyptus grandis. Its description in RNAcentral is "long non-coding RNA (EGRA_LNC000220)". The record is from RNAcentral. Lineage: Eukaryota; Viridiplantae; Streptophyta; Magnoliopsida; Myrtales; Myrtaceae.
UGAGCUGCACGCAUGAGUCUUUCUUUUCUUCAAGAAAAUAUUUCAAGAAUCAUAUCUCUAAGUAAUAAUUUAUCUUGGGAAGCUAAAUUCUAAGUUAGGCGUGAAGUUAUUGCACCUUUCUGGUCCAUUACUAUCUUGAAAAUGUAGCUAGUUAGGCGUGAAGUUAUUGCACCUUUCUGGCCCAUAACUAUCUUGAAAAUGUAGCUUUCUUUUUUUUUUAAAUUUAUUUGACAUUGACAUAAAAGAAAGGCUUAUUCAGUUUCGCACCUGUUAGCAAGGAACCUGAAAAAGGAAUUCUUCUAGGGAGAACCUUUAGGUACUUGUUUAGUAACUCAUUAAGGAAAUAUUAAAGCUGUCAACAUGUUUAUUAUACUAGACAGGUGUGUGAUCAGAACUUGAGCAUAACAUUUGUUAAAUAUAUAGUAACAAGGGCCCUGGUAUUUUCAUACAAGGCAACAUAAGAAAUACCUUUCACAUCGCAUCUAAUGCUCUCUAGAGAAUUUAACAAGGUUAAUAUGUUUAAUGCACCUGGUCAACGAGUGCGUUAGGUUGGGUAUCACAUCUUAAUGUCCUUACUCAAGUCUACCUAUAAUAAUAAACUGGGGUAAUGAUAUAAAUGAUUCAUUGAACUUUUGCGCAUUGUGUAAUGUGAUUCCUAUAUUUUUAAUUUGUUUAUAAUGAUCCUUGAACUUUAGUUUCAAUUUGAAUGUGGCUCAAUGUGCAAUAUGGUUUCUAAACUUUUAAUUUGUUCAAUGUGGUUCUUGGACUUUUAGUACAUAUUCAAUGUAGCUCCUAAACUAUAUGAAAAUGUUCAAUGAAUAGUUUAGGGGCUAUAUUGAACAUAAAUUAAAAGUCCAGAUUUCACAUUGAAGAAAUCAAAAAUUCAAAGACCACAUGUUGUAUAUUGAGCCAAAGUUUAAGGACCAUUCAUGUCAUUUUCGCUAUUACUUUUUCUUCAUAAAAUGAAUAGGCUUGAGCAGACCCAUUUGUGUGGGCUCAAGCUUAGGAAGAAAAUUAAUUGCCUAGGCUUGCUUAAUUUGUGUUUUGGGCCCUUCUUGGCUAAGACAGGCCUAGGCAGGCCUAGCAUGCUAUGGGGGCCAUGAUCUGGUCUAGCUAUUUUGCUAUUUCAAUAUGUGGACAAAGUCGUCAAAGCCAGGACAUGAUCCAUGAUGUUUAAUAUAAUGCAAAAGAGAGAACCCUUACGUUUCUUUCAAUAAGCAACUGGCAUACAUUUAGCAGCAUCUUUUUUAUUGGUGACUUGCUCUUUUCAAUUUGCCUUUACCUUCACCUGCAUGCCAUGACUCUUGCUGCAUCAAGCCCUUUGAAGAAGACCUGGCAAUUUGCUAAGAUAGAGCUGGUUUUCCAGCUGUUACUUUUUCUCACCUUAACUUAACCUAUCGAAAAAGAGUAACCUCAGCAAGUUUGAAACUUAUGAUGCUCCAAGCUUCAGAGAAACAUGUCCGGUUGCCGCUGGAAUGGGAUCUACCGGAGUCGACACACAUUCAUGUUCUUUUCCAUAAGUCAACUAGGAGGACAUAAUAUCACUAAAGUUUUUUCACCAUAAUCCGUCAAGAAAUGGAGGAGUCUACAUUAAAUUCCACAAGAAAACACGAAAUUUCACCAUCCUUUUUUCGUCUACCCUCUCUAGAGGAUAAAAAGUCUUCUGGUGGCUGAGGAUCAAUUAAAGCUGCG